GAUGAACGCUGGCGGCGUGCCUAAUACAUGCAAGUCGAGCGAACGGACGAGAAGCUUGCUUCUCUGAUGUUAGCGGCGGACGGGUGAGUAAAACGUGGAUAACCUACCUAUAAGACUGGGAUAACUUCGGGAAACCGGAGCUAAUACCGGAUAAUAUUUUGAACCGCAUGGUUCAAAAGUUAAAGACGGUCUUGCUGUCACUUAUAGAUGGAUCCGCGCUGCAUUAGCUAGUUGGUAAGGUAACGGCUUACCAAGGCAACGAUGCAUAGCCGACCUGAGAGGGUGAUCGGGCACACUGGAACUGAGACACGGCCCAGACUCCUACGGGAGGCAGCAGUAGGGAAUCUUCCGCAAUGGGCGAAAGCCUGACGGAGCAACGCCGCGUGAGUGAUGAAGGUCUUCGGAUCGGAAAACUCUGUUAGUAGGGAAGAACAUAUGUGUAAGUAACUGUGCACAUCGUGACGGUACCUAAUCAGAAAGCCCCGGCUAACUACGUG
Molecule: ribosomal RNA, 497 nt
Filed under: uncultured bacterium
Lineage: Bacteria
Description: partial 16S ribosomal RNA
Rfam family: Bacterial small subunit ribosomal RNA
Source: RNAcentral